This 73-nucleotide transfer RNA is filed under the name Felis catus (domestic cat). It matches the Rfam family "tRNA". Rfam says of the family: Transfer RNA (tRNA) molecules are approximately 80 nucleotides in length. Their secondary structure includes four short double-helical elements and three loops (D, anti-codon, and T loops). The record is from Rfam by way of RNAcentral. Lineage: Eukaryota; Metazoa; Chordata; Mammalia; Carnivora; Felidae.
GCCUGGCUGGCUCAGUAAGUGGAGUGUGCAACUCUUGAUCCCGGGUAUGUGAGUUCAAGCCUCACGUUGGGUG